AUACUCAAAGACAACACAAGCAGAGCAGAGGCCGGAUGAAUGGCCAUGUUUUCCAGGAGGGUGGUACCCACUCUGUCUCAUUUAUUCAACAGCCCACCCAAUCACUAACUUCAUCAAAAGAUCCAAGCAACCAGCGGGCUGGGCAGGCUAAUUAUGUACCAAAUGCUCGUACACGUGAAGCAGGCAAAGGAUCUGGAGUCUCAUAUGCUGUUCCAACUUCACUCGGCCCUGCAUCUCAAGGAUCAGAGAUGCUGAGUAGCAUGCUUGCUGCUGCUUCCCCCGAGGAGCAAAAACAGAUUCUAGGG
RNAcentral lists this unclassified non-coding RNA (305 nucleotides) under Hevea brasiliensis (rubber tree). Lineage: Eukaryota; Viridiplantae; Streptophyta; Magnoliopsida; Malpighiales; Euphorbiaceae. The record is from RNAcentral.